CUCAAGGGCUGCUGGCUAGCGCUGAAGCCGGCGGCGGCGGCGGCGGCGGCGGGAGGUAACUCGCCCGGGUGACGUCAGGUCACAACAUUCCUUAAAGGGGAGGCCUGCGCACCGUUCCCAUUGGGCCGACGCAAAACCCGCCCGCCUGGGCACGUGACGUCAUGGCGCAGAGUCUGGAUUCCCGGCGUGGGACGCGACGGGGUGGGGCUUCGGGGGUCUGUCACAGUCUCGUGACGUCACUGCCUACCCUCCCCUCCCCAGAUCCGGGUGGCGGUGAACCUCUGGGCGGAACGGGCUGGCCAAGCAGCCGCCUCCCUCCCCAGCACAGUCCUUGGACGGCUCGCUCACAGCCUGUAGAUUCCCUUCGUCGGCCUAGGUUCCGCGGGGCCCAGGCGUCAGCUGCAGGCCUGGGCAAGAAAGGAACCCCGGACACUGAAAAAAUUCUAGAGACAAAUCCAGGUCGCUGAAGGUGAGGUGCACACGCGUCCAGUUUAUGCCUCUUGAACAAACUUCACCUCAGAGGGGUGGAGCAGAGCAGCAGCUGCAGGGACCCCCUCACCUCUUCCUUGGCCCACACCCACCAGGCACUCAUCUGGCAGAGGCACAAGCCCCCAGCCGCUCUCCACUCGCUUCCACGCCCAGCUUAGGUCCCACAGGCAUCGUCAGAACCUUUCCCAAAAGCCCUGAACCUGCUUCUGCCAAGUCAACCUGGAAAAACCUCAGGCCGGGUUUGACAGCCACAGCCCUGGCUGAAGAUGAAGAUGCUGGGCAAGGUGAGCUCCCUGCAAGUCUGGGCCCGUCUCCUCCUGCUCCCUCCUCUCCUCCGUCUCCAGCUGCUCUUAUGGGGAGGGGAGGCCCUGCCCGGCCCUCACGCUGCUCUCUGUGUUCAGUAAUCACUGUCCCUGUCCCCAGGCCAGCCCUUCACAAGGCCCUGGGCGCGUGCCUUUCUCACGCGCUUUGCGCUUUGCUCUGAGAGGCCGCUGUGGCUCCUGCCAGCAGGCGCGCUCGCUCCCCCUCGCUGAUGUCUGCAGCUGUCUCUCCUAUCUAGACACUGAUCCCAGCCCAGGUCACCGUCCCUCCC
Molecule: long non-coding RNA, 1081 nt
Organism: Fukomys damarensis (Damara mole-rat)
Lineage: Eukaryota; Metazoa; Chordata; Mammalia; Rodentia; Bathyergidae
Source: Ensembl